UUCAGGUUUCCCCCGUAGCGCGGAGCUCAGCGCCCGGACGGUAGCGGUGAUCCGGAAAGGCGACGACUCCUCGAUUUUCUCCAUCACCACCACAAGACCACAACACAACAGGGAGGAUGAUGUUGUGCUGCUGUAUCUUCUCACUGAUGAAGGGAGAGGCACUCACCGGACCAGAGACGUCAGGCUGCCGGAUCAAGAUGUGCUGUGCAUUGUGGGAUGGAAACGGACCCCACAACCAGCUGGGAGCUCAGACAUACAGCUGCAUUAUGGGUUCCGUUACAACCCCACACACCAAAAGAACAUGUCGGCCUCGUCUGGGAUCCGGUCGGGACGGUGCGCUCAGAGAAAAAUAGAAAAUAACCGCGUUGACAACAUGACCAAGACAUUAAAGUGUGCGGUUGCAGUUCCAAACUGGAUCCUGCAGCACUCACCAUCCAUCACGAUGUGUUGCUGAGGCAGCGGCCAUUUUCUUCAUCCAGCUGUGUUAAAGGCUGGAAAGUCCGGUAGUUUCGCUGGAGCGCCUGCUUCCCCCCAGAGACGUCCAACAGGUAAAAUGAGACUGCAGCACUAUGACCUUGGAUCGGUUAAUAAAGUGGCUGCAGCUGCGUGAAAGCUAGAUAUAGACAAAUCUACAUCUGGCAGGAGAGAAGAGAGAAGAGAAGAGAAAAAAGUUAGUUGGACCAAGAGAGAUCACACGACCGUCUCCAUGCUGCCUGAGGCUUCCUGUUGAAACGAGACAGAAGCAGCAGUGGCCAGAGCGGAGGGGCAGAAGGGGAAGUUGACAGUGUAACUGAAGGGGAGUUGGUGUGUGGGGAGACAUGAAACUAGGAGUGGUGUUGUUGACUCUGAAAUAUGAAACCGAACUCUACACAACAAAUUUGCGUGUACUUAGCAGAGUGGAUCUGUACAGAUCAAAGGGUUUAUUUUGUGCAGUCCGUCAGCAUGUUGUGUGUGUGUGUGUAUAUCUAUAUAUAUAUACCUGUGUAGGCUGUGGACUCCACCCUCCAUCUGAGCUGAUGCUGUUCUCUUCUCAAACUUCAGAUCUCCAGAAUACAUCAUGGCUCUGGCAGGGAGAGGGGGAAGAUAAACAGUGUUACACACCAACACCAUGCACUACCAGGUACCAGGAGGGAGAUAUUAGGGGUCUGUCUUCGUACCCUUAAAAUGCCUCCUCCUUUCCUUUCUGACCCAGAAACUGAUUUUCCCAUCACUAUCUUUGCUAGCUGAGCCUGAUUCAAUAGUAAACAAACUAAGCAGCUUUGAAGUCUCCUUCUAGGAAGCAACAGCAUCCUAUCACUGUUUGUCAUCACAACACCGAUUAUGCAAUAUGCCCAGAUUGCAUAAAAGAUGUCAGCUUGCUCCAGUGGUCAAAGGAGGCAAAUGAGUAGCAGCACUAGUGCAUGGUGGCGCUGCAGCAUGAGGCAUUUGUUUUACAUAGCACCGUGUGCAACAGAUCCGCCCAACAUCUUCCAGCACAACACAGAAUGACAGCCUUGAAAGGAUUUCUGCUCAAAUAAAUGGCUGGCACAUACUAUUUACAGGGUUACUUCAACACAGAUAUCUACACACAUAACUAUACAGUAAAUAUUUACAUAAAACCAUUACC
Molecule: long non-coding RNA, 1606 nt
Organism: Myripristis murdjan (pinecone soldierfish)
Lineage: Eukaryota; Metazoa; Chordata; Actinopteri; Holocentriformes; Holocentridae
Exons: 6
Source: RefSeq, a predicted model, not a curated record